Molecule: long non-coding RNA, 2265 nt
Organism: Thamnophis elegans (Western terrestrial garter snake)
Lineage: Eukaryota; Metazoa; Chordata; Lepidosauria; Squamata; Natricidae
Exons: 5
Source: RefSeq, a predicted model, not a curated record
UAGCGGGGCGGAGUUGGGUUGCUCUGGGCUGAGAAAUUCCGUGCGCAAAUUAUACCCAAUGCAAACUGCAAUCCACGCCACGCGUUGCCCAAGCUGACGACUCCCGUAUCGGGGAGGGAAGGGCCGCCUCGUCUUUGCAGGAUCAAAGGAUUCCACAGCAGCAGGGAGGCCGCCUUUCGUACCGCACGCAGAGGAGAUCGACCCAGAAAUGGAGGAUUUGAUUGUAUGCACCGAAUGAAGAGGUGAACAUAAGAUCAAGCAACACUUUUUUUUUUCCAGGGAAAAGCUAACAUCCUGUGUCAGCCUGACUAGGGCUUGAAGUAUGGUAAACAGAGUAUCUGUCAUAACCGCAUCCCCACAUUGCUAUCCAGCAACCUCCGUCAUCAGGAACAAGCACUUCACAACAACUUGACAAGAAGCAGAUGGCAGCUGCAGGGGCUGCAGCUCCAUUCCGGCUGUUUGGCAGCCUCUCUUUUCUCUCUCUGCUCUAGGCUUGGUCCUCGGAAGCUCUUGGAUCGCAGCAGCAUCCUCAGCAGCUUCCUCCAUCAACACAGCGAGAGCGAAAUGGUGUUACUGCCCCAAUAUACAGCAGGCGGAUGUAACCAUAUGAAGCCAUUGGAUAAAGUCAUCCAAAACUUUGGGGUGUGGCAUCAUCAAAAGGUUUAUGACGCCCAAGUUUAUCUCAUCACCCCAUACCAUAAGGGAGUUGCUGUCAACAUCCUGUCCCUGUGCUUGGAGGAUUGAAAGGUCUGGAUGGAAGAGAACGGAUGAGCACAGAAACCUAAUAAGGUGAAGGACAUAACUUGGAGAACAUUUGCCCAGCUUUAGCUGGUGCACCUUUUUCAACGCUACUUGGUGCAAGAGGACCUAGCUACAGUAAUUCAUUCAAGUGCCAUCACCACUUGGUUGGAUUAUUGAUUUACAUGGGACUACAUUUGAAGAAUACUUGGAAACUACCAUUCAUCCAGAUUGUAUUGGAUCAGGUCUUGGCUUAUGGAUGAUCCAAGAUACCUGAUCCCAAAAUCUUGAUGGCAAUGCACUCAGGUAUCUUCUGUGGGCCAUGUGAAGUUGUUGGAAGCAUGUCCUUCCCCUCCAGUCAACUGAUGCUUCCCAUCACAACCAUUUGGACUUGGACUGCAAGGAGACCCAGACAUCUGACUGACUUGUAUGCCUGACUUGUGCUUCACAAAGCAUGGUUCAGACUUUUGGUGGGCUACUGUAUUUAUGCACAUCCUUUGGAUUUACUACACAUAUGUUUAGUAGUUUACUAAAAAGGCUUUUUGUGUGUGUGGGGGGAAACAGCUGUCAAAUAAUUUAAAUAGAGAAAAACAUCUGUUGCUGGUUCUUUCCAAAAUUAGUGCAUUAUAGGUUUUCUAUGCUUCUGGAAUGGCAUCAUUUUGUUCACUCAUUGAGAAUUUUCCAGUACAAUGGAAAGACUGGGAAAUAUCCACAAUGGAGGAAGAUGACAAAAUUAGCAGAAAUGGUAAAAUUAGCUCAUUUGAUUGGAGAAAUAUCAACAGCCACAUUUGUCAGUGACUGGAUACAGCUUAAGGACUUUUGCUAAAGAAAAAAAGAGAGAGAGAAAUGAACUUGUGAUUUAUGGUUUCGAAGAUUAGAAAGGGCAGUUUAUAGAAAGAAGGAAAUUAUGAUGUAACUUUGGAGAAAGAAGGCAGAAUAUAUUUAUAACCAUUGCUAAAAAGAUUGAAAGCCUUUUCUUUUCUCUUUCUUUUUUCUUUCCUUUCUUAUUUAUUAACUAUUCCUCCUUAUUUUAUUUGUUUCUUUUUAAUAUUUUUGUUCUUUUUAAUUUGUAUUUGAUAAAAAAAUAUAUUUUAAAAAGAUUUUUUCCAGGUGUACCCAGCUGUGAUUCUGUUCUAUUAGCACUGGGGCUGCCUGGCAGACCUAUCUGGUGCAUUUGGAAGAGGGUGAAAUUGACAGCAGUCCUUCCAAUUUCCCCUUCUAGCCCUAUAUGCACAGCGGCCCUUCUGACAAGUCCGCAAGUUGGAGGAUGGGUCAGGGUGAAGCCAAUGCAGUUCUUUCAUUGCACCUCCCAGACUCUUUCAUGCUUCAUUCCCUGCCUAUUUUCUGCUUGUCUGCCCAACAAGCUAUCAGUUAGCCUUUUUAUAGAUAUAAAUCUAUUAGUCUACCAAAAGAUGUGCAUGUUCAGAAUUAAUCUGACUUUCAGGUUAUCAGUGUCACAGUGGUGGGUUUCAAUUUUUUUUAGAACCUAUUCUGUAGGUGUGGCCUGUUUUGUGGGAGUGGCUUGGC